GAUGAACGCUGGCGGCGUGCCUAAUACAUGCAAGUCGAGCGACCGGACGAGAAGCUUGCUCCUCUGAUGUUAGCGGCGGACGGGUGAGUAACACGUGGAUAACCUACCUAUAAGACUGGGAUAACUUCGGGAAACCGGAGCUAAUACCGGCUAAUAUUUUGAACCGCAUGGUUCAAAAGUGAAUGACGGUCUUGCUGUCACUUAUAGAUGGAUCCGCGCUGCAUUAGCUAGUUGGUAAGGUAACGGCUUACCAAGGCAACGAUGCAUAGCCGACCUGAGAGGGUGAUCAGCCACACUGGAACUGAGACACGGUCCAGACUCCUACGGGAGGCAGCAGUAGGGAAUCUUCCACAAUGGGCGAAAGCCUGACGGAGCAACGCCGCGUGAGUGAUGAAGGUCUUCGGAUCGUAAAACUCUGUUAUUAGGGAAGAACAUAUGUGUAAGUAACUGUGCACGUCUUGACGGUACCUAAUCAGAAAGCCACGGCUAACUACGUG
RNAcentral lists this ribosomal RNA (497 nucleotides) under uncultured bacterium. RNAcentral's name for it is "partial 16S ribosomal RNA". It matches the Rfam family "Bacterial small subunit ribosomal RNA", at positions 28 to 507 of the family's 1533-position model. The record is from RNAcentral.